UUCUUUUGUUUUUAUUUAGUGGUUUUUGUUUGGGUUGUGAGCUUUCUGGAACGAUGGCUAGAAAUUUUUACACAUCUUGGAAGCUCUGUGGUCAGGAUUUGAUUGUGUGUGUGCUAAGAUGGGCAGUCAUUGAUUAUUUUGGAGGUAUUUUUUAUAAAACAAUUUACUAUCAUAUUUAUGUUUGGUAUUAUAUAUUAUUAGUUGUUUUGAUCCAAUGUAUGUGUUUAUAUAAGCAGGGAAAAUUACUAUAUCGUCCACUUAUCCUACUACGUUUGAGCUCAAUCCUUCUAUCCCAGAAGUUGAUGAUUUCUUAGAACAGUAAGUUUUUAAUGAUAUUGGUAGAUUAUUAAUUUCUUAUUUUGAUGAUCUGAUGUCUUUGUUGUUUUUCUUUUCGUGAAUGUAGGUAUCCUCAUAAGAAGAUAUGUUUGGG
This 430-nucleotide long non-coding RNA is filed under the name Eutrema salsugineum. RNAcentral's name for it is "long non-coding RNA (ESAL_LNC002176)". The record is from RNAcentral. Lineage: Eukaryota; Viridiplantae; Streptophyta; Magnoliopsida; Brassicales; Brassicaceae.